CUCAGUUGCGUUUUCUUUUCAAUUUUAGUUAUCUUGUUAUCGGUUAAAUUGCCUAUUUGUAUUUUUGUCCUGGUGAAGGUUUUGUGUGUGUUGUUUUAACUCAAACUUGUGCGGGAAUUGGAACCGAACUUGUACUCCCACUAUAACUCCAAAUAAAGCAAAGUUUAAUUAAAUACUCUGAUAGUGGCAAAUCCGCAAGGGAGCCAUUACAAGAAUAACAUAACAUAACAUGUGUGUGUCAAAUACAUGGUAGCGUG
Molecule: unclassified non-coding RNA, 257 nt
Filed under: Melitaea cinxia (Glanville fritillary)
Lineage: Eukaryota; Metazoa; Arthropoda; Insecta; Lepidoptera; Nymphalidae
Description: misc RNA ENSMCXG00005018668.1
Source: RNAcentral